This 232-nucleotide long non-coding RNA is filed under the name Capsicum annuum. RNAcentral describes it as "long non-coding RNA (CANN_LNC019054)". Lineage: Eukaryota; Viridiplantae; Streptophyta; Magnoliopsida; Solanales; Solanaceae. The record is from RNAcentral.
UUUGAAAGCUCAGUUAGGUUCAUAGGGUGAUUUAUGACUUGAUUGAUUAGUUUACAUGGAUCUUAAGGCACUUGGGAGCAAUAUAAAGUGCGAGACGUGAUAACACUAUAAGGGCAUAACCACACUGAAGGAAGUAUUCAUGGCAACAUUAUCAAGGCAGGCAUGGCCUAUCAUGUAGCAGACAAGCAAUGCAGGGGUGCAACAAGUGCGAGUUACACAUGAUCAUGCAAAG